UGGCGGCAGGCUUAACACAUGCAAGUCGAACGCCCGAGCAAUCGGGAGUGGCAGACGGGUGAGUAACACGUGGGAACAUACCCUCAGGUUCGGAACAACGCCGGGAAACUGGCGCUAAUACCGGAUACGCCCUAUUGGGGAAAGGCUUGCUGCCUGAGGAUUGGCCCGCGUUCGAUUAGCUGGAUGGCGGGGUAACGGCCCACCAUGGCGACGAUCGAUAGCUGGUCUGAGAGGAUGGCCAGCCACAUUGGGACUGAGACACGGCCCAAACUCCUACGGGAGGCAGCAGUGGGGAAUAUUGGACAAUGGGCGCAAGCCUGAUCCAGCCAUGCCGCGUGAGUGAUGACGGCCUUAGGGUUGUAAAGCUCUUUCGCACGCGACGAUAAUGACGGUAGCGUGAGAAGAAGCCCCGGCUAACUUCGUGCCAGCAGCCGCGGUAAUACGAAGGGGGCUAGCGUUGUUCGGAAUCACUGGGCGUAAAGGGUGCGCAGGCGGGUUCAUAAGUCAGGGGUGAAAUCCCGAGGCUCAACCUCGGAACGGCCUUUGAUACUGUGGAUCUUGAGUCCGGAAGAGGUGAGUGGAACUGC
Molecule: ribosomal RNA, 587 nt
Filed under: uncultured bacterium
Lineage: Bacteria
Description: bacterial SSU rRNA
Rfam family: Bacterial small subunit ribosomal RNA
Source: RNAcentral